This 514-nucleotide ribosomal RNA is filed under the name uncultured bacterium. RNAcentral's name for it is "bacterial SSU rRNA". It matches the Rfam family "Bacterial small subunit ribosomal RNA", at positions 1 to 518 of the family's 1533-position model. The record is from RNAcentral.
AGGGUUCGAGUUCUGGCUCAGGAUGAACGCUAGCUACAGGCUUAACACAUGCAAGUCGAGGGGUAGCAGGGUAGCAAUACCGCUGACGACCGGCGCACGGGUGAGUAACACGUAUCCAACCUUCCCAUAACUCAGGGAUAGCCUUUCGAAAGAAAGAUUAAUACCUGAUAGUACUUUUUCAAGGCAUCUUGAGAAGUUAAAGAUUUAUUGGUUGUGGAUGGGGAUGCGUUCCAUUAGAUAGUUGGUGAGGUAACGGCUCACCAAGUCUUCGAUGGAUAGGGGUUCUGAGAGGAAGGUCCCCCACAUUGGUACUGAGACACGGACCAAACUCCUACGGGAGGCAGCAGUGAGGAAUAUUGGUCAAUGGGCGAGAGCCUGAACCAGCCAAGUAGCGUGAAGGAAUGAAGGUCCUAUGGAUUGUAAACUUCUUUUAUAGUAGAAUAAAGUGAUCCACGUGUGGAUUUUUGUAUGUAUACUAUGAAUAAGGAUCGGCUAACUCCGUGCCAGCCGCCGC